This 5507-nucleotide long non-coding RNA is filed under the name Solanum tuberosum (potato). RNAcentral describes it as "long non-coding RNA (STUB_LNC003954)". Lineage: Eukaryota; Viridiplantae; Streptophyta; Magnoliopsida; Solanales; Solanaceae. The record is from RNAcentral.
CCACUGGUAUAUUACUCACUAUUGGCCCAUCUGCCACCUUAUUGUUAUUAUUGUGGGUAUAAUUUAGAUGCCAAUUUUAGCAUCUUUAUUUAUACUCUUUCAUUCAGUUUUUGUUACCCUUUUUCUUCUGUUAGCCAUACUUCACACCAAAAAAAACCAUGAGCUUAUGAUGCAUGUUGGAAAGUCUCUUUUCUUCUCCAAUAAAUAAGUUAAAUCAAACAAGGCAAGUUUCUUCCAUUCUUCCUUUAUAUGUGUUGUUAUUUUUUACUUUUUUAUUUUAUGAUGGUUUUGUUUGAGCGUGUUGUCACGCUUAUCCUUUCAUACUAGUAAUUUGCAGUAUUACUCUUGUAGUUUCCUUGUCCUUCUUAUGGUUUAUUAUUUGUUGUUUCUUGUACUUCAUUUGUCAUAUUAUUUUGUAUAUUCUUGUCUUUCUAUCGGUUCUGAUUUGUUGUUUCAUGUACUUUGUGUAUUAUUUUGUGGUAGUUACUAUUCUUCCCUUCUUCUUUUUUUCAAAUUGUUUUUAGCAUAUAGUAGUAUAUUUGCUUCGUCACAUUCGUUAUUUCUUUUACCAGACUGUUUUGUUUUGCUUCACUUUGAGGCGAGGAUCUACCGAAAACAUCCUCUCUACUUGCCAAGGUAGGCAUCCAUGUAUACUCUACUCUCUCCGCACUCCACUUUUGAAAUUACAUUAGUAUGUUAUUAUAUGGCGGGAUUACAUUAAGUAUGUUAUUGUUGUUGUUACACAUGGAUUAUUUUAUCGAGUAUCUGCUAGUUUUUGCCACCACAAGUACUAUAUUAGUUAAUUACCUCUGUUUGUUUCAAUAUUCUCUCCUAGUUUAAGGUUUGUUUCUUGAACUCUUGAUUCUUUUAAUUACAUAUAUAUAUAUAUGUUAAGAUCCAUACAUAGAGAGAGAAAUAUAGAUGAUUCAAGGUAUUUGUUUUUUGUUUGGCCAUUUAACUACUAUUACUUUGUUAAUUGGCUGAGAAACUCCACUUCUAGGAGAAAAAUAAACAGGUUUUGUCCAACAGUAUAUAUAUCAUAUAUGGCUUCAUGAUAAUAUUUGGUUGGUUGCCUGUAAUGCAUGUGAUUGGGCUUCUCAGCUUUUAUUUAUGAGUUUUAAGUUAUAUAUAUCAAGAAGGAGAAGAGGUGAGCAUAGUUUCACUUGCUUGGUAACCUCUUUCCCCGUCAGAGAUAAGAAAGAAUCCAAAUCUUGCAAGGAUGUUAGACUUCAACGUCUCUACACCAUUAGGUGAUCUUUAUCUGUUAUUAAACUCUUUUCAUGUUAGCUCAUCUCCUUGUUUGUAAACCUGGUUCUGGUUCCUUUUUUGAAGUUUCUGGUUUGUAGUUCUAAUUUUCUUGAUUUUGUUCGAUGAAACUACGUAUACAUGCCAGUUUUUGGUGGUUAAGUUUGCUGCCAUACAUAGUCAGGAAUAAUUGCAGAGUACAACAUCAGAAAUUGGUGUCUUAAGACUUAGCAUAAUUGCAGAGUACAACAUCAGAAGACUGUCAAAAAGGAUAAUUAUCAUUAAGGAAAAUGAACAAUGGUCUGCACUUAUCAAUACAAUGAAAUUCAGAAAAUGCACUAUGCCCUUAACCAACUACAAAAUAAAAAGUGGUUAAGGGCGGGCUAAAAUGUCUUGUUCUGAUCUUUUUGUCAGCACAGUGUAGCUUUGCCUUUUCAUGCAUUUCCUCCUUUCCCCUUCCUUCUGUAAUGUGAUUCGUGUAUGUGAAAAUGCUGUACAGUUUAUUCCACCGGUUAAGUCACCAGUGGACUGAAUUUGCCAUCAUAGGUUCAUGUGAGGGAUGCAUUUACUCUGACUGGUUUUACACGACUUACACCUCUUCGCAUAAACUCAAAUGCCAACAUAAACAAACCAAAAAAGAACAACAAGAACAUCUGUAGCCUUCCUAUAAUGUCGGCCAUGACAGAUGAUCUACUUCCUUCUGGAGAACUUUUUCUAGUAAGUGGAGUUAUAUUCCAUCCUGACAGAGACAAUCAACUAUUAAAGCAAUGCACCUUAACCAAUAAACUUAGGAAACAUUACAGGACUUUGUGAUAUAUGGAAGUUUAUGUAUCCUACAGAGACAUUAUUCCUCUAUAUCUUGUUCCUCCAAAUAGUCUUAGUUUCAUGCUGCUGCUUUCUACAAAAAAUAGGAACCAGUUAUUAAUACUUACCAGAGCUUUUCUUGGGCAAAUUUGUCCAGUCAUACGGGCUAAUCUUACUUGUGGAUGCCUUGAUCAACUCAAGAAGAGCGUCAUUGACCUAGAAUAUUUAAUAAUUGUCAUAUACUUCUUCCAUUAACAAUCAACACACAUAAGACUACAGCCACACAAAUCAUUUGAAGCCACAAAGAGUACUAAAACUUUGAGAAUCUCAUAACAUAUUAUGCAUUUUGAAUUCCCUAUUCAUAACUACCAAAAAGUUGAUUUGGCCUAUUUGUGACCACCAAGAAGAGUAACCCCUCCCCAGGUUCUUAGGAUGCUUUUCUUGACCUCCACCCUUAGUACGUUAUAUUUUUUUUUUUUGUUUUUGGUAACUAAGCAGAAUGGAUUUUUUUUCUUACUGGAUGAUUCUGUAUUUGCAUAAUAAAGACAUAAAAACAUACCUCUUCUGUCCUUUCAUGACUAACAAGAUGUCCUCCAGGAAGCUCUACCAUUCUAGCAUAAGGAUGUAACUUCUUCGCAAGCCUCUUUGCAUGGCUUAACUGAGCAAUGACAUCAUGCCUACACAGAAGAAAAUGUUGAUUUAUAUCUAAAUAUAAUGUAUCUGGCAAUUUGAGAUUGGAUCUCGUGGAUAAUGCAUUUACCUGCCAUGAAUUACAGAUAUUAGGAAUCCAGCAGAGCAGAUAGAUUCAAGAUCAGCCCGUGAUAUCUUAUGAGUCCAACAAGCAUUUAUCUGUCCAUCAAAUCCACAAUUUGACUGCAUCCCGGAUGCUGAUAUGCCUUUCACGUAUUCCUGGCACAGCCCAAAAAUAAGAGGGGGAAAAACACGUAAGCACCUUAAGUCUUGUUUAUUGUAGAUUACAUUUCAAUGGUUGAAAAAAAAAAAAAAAGAUGGCCUAAGAAACAUCUAGGUCACUCACUUGAUAUAAUAUUGCUCUUCGGGUCGUAGUUCCCACAUCUUCCUCGAGGUAUUCCUGCAAAGCACAAAUCACAAAUAUGUUAAGUCAUAUAUCACUCCCUAGUCGUGAUAAAUAUUAUCACUGAUUAGAAUUUAGAUCUUUUUUUUAGAAAUAAUAGAAUUUAUAUCAAGUGAUGAUAAACCAACUAAUCAGCAAUUGUACGAAAAGUAAGCACAUAAAACCAUCUAGAUACAUUUUAUGUUGUACAACAAUAGAUGACAUGCAUAUGAAACUUUGCAGUACAGGGGAACUAGGGAAGUGAAGCCUCAUAAUUUUCAACAUUAUUAAAUGAACAAUUAAUCAACCUUUGAAUAAUGGGUGUCUAAAUCAACAGCAGCCCUCUGUUCAGGAGUCUUUGCCUUCAAAAACCGGACAGCAAUUGAUAGAGUUUGACGAUCGAGCUGCAGGAAAAAAGACCACAUGAGUACUAGAAUCAACAAAAAAAACUCUUCAUUCCGUACAAGAAUAUAAUGAGAAACAGACAGAGGAAGCAUUGUGUUUGAGGUAUAACAUUAAUUUGGUUAGCAUCUUUUGAUACAAUUAGCACUCAUCAAAAUUACAGGAUCUUAUUCAUAACUAGCAUGUAUCUGUUCAAAAAAAAUUGUGCAUCUGACAUGAUGUUGCCAGUUACUAUUUUUUUUAAUCAAGUCAAGUAAUAUAAUUUUAUUGAUAAUGGAAAAGCAUUAGUACGAAACCAUCAAUCAAUUAUGUCUUAGUUCCAAAAAAGCUAGGAUCAAUUUAUAAAUAUCUUAAAUUAAAAGAAAUUCAAAUGACUCAGACAUUCAUGGCCAAUUUAACCUGAUAUUUUAUUUGAGCUGUGGAAGUAACCACUAAUGCUUGCAUUAGGGUAUGCUGUCUACAUCACAUCCUUUGGGGGUGCAGCCCUUCCCCUUCCCCUGUGCUAAUGCGGAAUGUUUUGUGCACCAGACUGCCCUUCUUUUCUUUUCCUAUUUCAUCAAUUGGGGUGCAGUUGAGUUGUAUAAAUGUUUAGGCUACACCACUGCUAAACUAAGAUAUAGUGACCACAUUAAUCAUUUUCAUUGUUGUCCCUUCAAUCUUCCAAUUUUCACUCUUCAAUGGGUGCAUUACUCAACCUUUUAUAGAUACCCACCAAACUAGGUACUUUUUUUUCUCAAUUUAUUUUUCCCAUAAGAGCUAUUAAACACACUGUUUUUCACCCUCACUCCUUUGAAAAAGUACUGUUUUCUCUUCUUAUACCACAUGAAUCAUCUCAACAGACUCAUCCCAGCCAUCUAUAACUCUUCGGAAUUGUUUCUGUGCUUCAGAGACAGCACAAUAUUAUUUAAUCACAUGCAUGAUGUUACUACCCAUCCCUUGAUCAGUAGUAUUCAUCUCCAUCAUACCUAAUUUCCUUCAGAUUUAUCAGUAGAUGAAUUUCUGACAACAUUCAGUGCUCAGGUCUUUGUUAAACAAAGUUGUCUUUCCAGAUAGUACAUUUUAACUAUGCAAACAUGACUUUUUUAUUAUUUGUCAGAUCAACUAUUUGGGUCUUGUAUGCUACCAAGUAGAAAAACAUUGUGGAAUUAGGAACAACUCCAUCAAAUGGUCAUACCGCCUAUUGAAGAAGCAGACUGGCCUAUAGCAUUUCACUGGAUUAAGAGGGGUCUCUCCUCACCCUCUGAGAAAAAUGCUGAGUACCUCCUGGCCUUUCCAGAGCAAAGGAGAAAAGGAUUACCUAAUCUACAAGUAUAAACUAUAGUUGUGAUAUGUGUUUAUCUCAUAUGUGAUAUGACAAUCUGAGCAUACAAACUUCCCCUUCCUUCCACAUGGAAUAUGCUACAACAGAAGAAUAAGAACAGUAUUCCCUCCUUUCUCAUACAGACAGACUGGAAUCUCUCUCUCCACACACACACACACAGAGUAGAGACACUCACAAAUGGACAAGAUGGGUACAUUCUUAAUAAUUAUGUACCACACCUUAUUUUUAUUUGGAUAACUCUGUAACUAAUAUCACCUUAUAAGCACCAAAUAAUUCUACCUUCUCCACUUAAAUAUUAGACUUUGGUCUGCUAAAGGUUCAACCCCGUAACGUGCGCCUAAUCUACACAUAGCAUGUUACACUUUUACCAUCAUACCAAAUCCCAGGGAGCUUGCAGUGUCCAAAUUCCACCUUGCUGCUUUCAUUACAUGACCACUGAUGCCACGCUGUGAACUUAAAAAAUGCUAGAAUGGCCUCAAUUAACGGAAUAUCUUCUAUUUUUUUACUUUCAGUAAGCUGAUUUUUGUAUAUCUUUCCUGGAAGGGGAAUGCAAUGCAAAGGAAAACCAAAACGGUCAUUCAAUUUUCAGAUAUAGCUGAACCAUUCACUAAAAUCUUUGAACAAUAUGUCCAAUGACCAAUAGUUGAAGAGAGGAUCUUACCC